RNAcentral lists this ribosomal RNA (741 nucleotides) under uncultured bacterium. RNAcentral describes it as "bacterial SSU rRNA". It matches the Rfam family "Bacterial small subunit ribosomal RNA", at positions 8 to 796 of the family's 1533-position model. The record is from RNAcentral.
AGAGUUUGAUCAUGGCUCAGAGCGAACGCUGGCGGCAGGCUUAACACAUGCAAGUCGAACGGGCCCUCGGGUGUCAGUGGCAGACGGGUGAGUAACACGUGGGAACGUACCCUUCGGUUCGGAAUAACUCAGGGAAACUUGAGCUAAUACCGGAUACGCCCUUACGGGGAAAGGUUUACUGGCGAAGGAUCGGCCCGCGUCUGAUUAGCUAGUUGGUGAGGUAAUGGCUCACCAAGGCGACGAUCAGUAGCUGGUCUGAGAGGAUGAUCAGCCACACUGGGACUGAGACACGGCCCAGACUCCUACGGGAGGCAGCAGUGGGGAAUAUUGGACAAUGGGCGAAAGCCUGAUCCAGCCAUGCCGCGUGAGUGAUGAAGGCCCUAGGGUUGUAAAGCUCUUUCGACGGGGACGAUAAUGACGGUACCCGUAGAAGAAGCCCCGGCUAACUUCGUGCCAGCAGCCGCGGUAAUACGAAGGGGGCUACGUUGCUCGGAAUCACUGGGCGUAAAGGGCGCGUAGGCGGAUCUUUAAGUCAGGGGUGAAAGCCUGAGGCUCAACCUCAGAAUUGCCUUUGAUACUGAAGAUCUUGAGACCGGAAGAGGUUAGUGGAACUGCGAGUGUAGAGGUGAAAUUCGUAGAUAUUCGCAAGAACACCAGUGGCGAAGGCGGCUAACUGGUCCGGUUCUGNNGCUGAGGCGCGAAAGCGUGGGGAGCAAACAGGAUUAGAUACCCUAGUAGUCC